This is a non-coding RNA of Ameiurus melas (black bullhead), 77 nucleotides long. The record is from the annotation of a GenBank genome assembly. Lineage: Eukaryota; Metazoa; Chordata; Actinopteri; Siluriformes; Ictaluridae.
GGGAGCAUGGUAGCUUAGUGGUUAGCGCGUUUCUCCUCACACCGCCAGGGUCGGGGGUUCGAUUCCCACUGCUGCCC